CAAGCGCCGCUGAGGGAUGGGCCUGCGUCCGAUUAGCUUGUUGGUGGGGUAACGGCCCACCAAGGCGACGAUCGGUAGCCGGUCUGAGAGGAUGAACGGCCACAUUGGGACUGAGACACGGCCCAGACUCCUACGGGAGGCAGCAGUGGGGAAUCUUCCGCAAUGGGCGAAAGCCUGACGGAGCAACGCCGCGUGAGUGAUGAAGUUCUUCGGAACGUAAAACUCUGUUGUUCACGACGAACGGGGGGACCAGGAAAUGGGUUUCCAGUGACGGUAGUGAACGAGGAAGCCACGGCUAACUACGUGCCAGCAGCCGCGGUAAU
This 323-nucleotide ribosomal RNA is filed under the name uncultured bacterium. RNAcentral describes it as "bacterial SSU rRNA". It matches the Rfam family "Bacterial small subunit ribosomal RNA", at positions 209 to 524 of the family's 1533-position model. The record is from RNAcentral.